UACAGAGGGUGCAAGCGUUAAUCGGAAUGACUGGGCGUAAAGGGCGCGUAGGCGGUUUAUUAAGUUAGAUGUGAAAACCCUGAGCUUAACUCAGGAAGGUCAUUUAAUACUGGUAGACUAGAGAGCAGUAGAGGGUAGUAGAAUUUCCGGUGUAGCGGUGAAAUGCGUAGAUAUCGGAAGGAAUACCGGUGGCGAAGGCGGCUACCUGGACUGCAUCUGACGCUGAGGCGCGAAAGCAUGGGUAGCGAACAGG
This 253-nucleotide unclassified non-coding RNA is filed under the name uncultured Gammaproteobacteria bacterium. RNAcentral describes it as "contains 16S-23S intergenic spacer region". It matches the Rfam family "Bacterial small subunit ribosomal RNA", at positions 524 to 776 of the family's 1533-position model. The record is from RNAcentral. Lineage: Bacteria; Pseudomonadati; Pseudomonadota; Gammaproteobacteria.